This 524-nucleotide ribosomal RNA is filed under the name uncultured bacterium. RNAcentral's name for it is "partial 16S ribosomal RNA". It matches the Rfam family "Bacterial small subunit ribosomal RNA", at positions 355 to 895 of the family's 1533-position model. The record is from RNAcentral.
UGGGGAAUAUUGCACAAUGGGCGAAAGCCUGAUGCAGCAACGCCGCGUGAGUGAUGAAGGCCUUCGGGUUGUAAAGCUCUGUCUUUUGGGACGAUAAUGACGGUACCAAAGGAGGAAGCCACGGCUAACUACGUGCCAGCAGCCGCGGUAAUACGUAGGUGGCAAGCGUUGUCCGGAUUUACUGGGCGUAAAGGAUGCGUAGGCGGAUUUUUAAGUGAGAUGUGAAAACCCUAAGCUUAACUUGGGGACUGCAUUUCAUACUGGAAAUCUAGAGUGCGGGAGAGGAGAAUGGAAUUCCUAGUGUAGCGGUGAAAUGCGUAGAGAUUAGGAAGAACACCAGUGGCGAAGGCGAUUCUCUGGACCGUAACUGACGCUGAGGCAUGAAAGCGUGGGUAGCAAACAGGAUUAGAUACCCUGGUAGUCCACGCCGUAAACGAUGAGUACUAGGUGUAGGAGGUAUCGACCCCUUCUGUGCCGCAGUUAACACAAUAAGUACUCCGCCUGGGAAGUACGAUCGCAAGAUU